This 1245-nucleotide ribosomal RNA is filed under the name Bacillus safensis. RNAcentral's name for it is "bacterial SSU rRNA". It matches the Rfam family "Bacterial small subunit ribosomal RNA", at positions 56 to 1286 of the family's 1533-position model. The record is from RNAcentral. Lineage: Bacteria; Bacillati; Bacillota; Bacilli; Caryophanales; Bacillaceae.
UGCAGUCGAGCGGACAGAAGGGAGCUUGCUCCCGGAUGUUAGCGGCGGACGGGUGAGUAACACGUGGGUAACCUGCCUGUAAGACUGGGAUAACUCCGGGAAACCGGAGCUAAUACCGGAUAGUUCCUUGAACCGCAUGGUUCAAGGAUGAAAGACGGUUUCGGCUGUCACUUACAGAUGGACCCGCGGCGCAUUAGCUAGUUGGUGGGGUAAUGGCUCACCAAGGCGACGAUGCGUAGCCGACCUGAGAGGGUGAUCGGCCACACUGGGACUGAGACACGGCCCAGACUCCUACGGGAGGCAGCAGUAGGGAAUCUUCCGCAAUGGACGAAAGUCUGACGGAGCAACGCCGCGUGAGUGAUGAAGGUUUUCGGAUCGUAAAGCUCUGUUGUUAGGGAAGAACAAGUGCGAGAGUAACUGCUCGCACCUUGACGGUACCUAACCAGAAAGCCACGGCUAACUACGUGCCAGCAGCCGCGGUAAUACGUAGGUGGCAAGCGUUGUCCGGAAUUAUUGGGCGUAAAGGGCUCGCAGGCGGUUUCUUAAGUCUGAUGUGAAAGCCCCCGGCUCAACCGGGGAGGGUCAUUGGAAACUGGGAAACUUGAGUGCAGAAGAGGAGAGUGGAAUUCCACGUGUAGCGGUGAAAUGCGUAGAGAUGUGGAGGAACACCAGUGGCGAAGGCGACUCUCUGGUCUGUAACUGACGCUGAGGAGCGAAAGCGUGGGGAGCGAACAGGAUUAGAUACCCUGGUAGUCCACGCCGUAAACGAUGAGUGCUAAGUGUUAGGGGGUUUCCGCCCCUUAGUGCUGCAGCUAACGCAUUAAGCACUCCGCCUGGGGAGUACGGUCGCAAGACUGAAACUCAAAGGAAUUGACGGGGGCCCGCACAAGCGGUGGAGCAUGUGGUUUAAUUCGAAGCAACGCGAAGAACCUUACCAGGUCUUGACAUCCUCUGACAACCCUAGAGAUAGGGCUUUCCCUUCGGGGACAGAGUGACAGGUGGUGCAUGGUUGUCGUCAGCUCGUGUCGUGAGAUGUUGGGUUAAGUCCCGCAACGAGCGCAACCCUUGAUCUUAGUUGCCAGCAUUCAGUUGGGCACUCUAAGGUGACUGCCGGUGACAAACCGGAGGAAGGUGGGGAUGACGUCAAAUCAUCAUGCCCCUUAUGACCUGGGCUACACACGUGCUACAAUGGACAGAACAAAGGGCUGCAAGACCGCAAGGUUUAGCCAAUCCCAUAAAUCUGUU